RNAcentral lists this ribosomal RNA (385 nucleotides) under uncultured bacterium. Its description in RNAcentral is "bacterial SSU rRNA". It matches the Rfam family "Bacterial small subunit ribosomal RNA", at positions 28 to 416 of the family's 1533-position model. The record is from RNAcentral.
GACGAACGCUGGCGGCGUGCUUAACACAUGCAAGUCGAGCGGUAAGGCCCUUCGGGGUACACGAGCGGCGAACGGGUGAGUAACACGUGGGUGACCUGCCUCUAGCUCUGGGAUAAGCCUGGGAAACUGGGUCUAAUACCGGAUAUGACUCCACGGCGCAUGUUGUGGGGUGGAAAGCCUUGUGCGGCUAGAGAUGGGCCCGCGGCCUAUCAGCUUGUUGGUGGGGUGAUGGCCUACCAAGGCGACGACGGGUAGCCGGCCUGAGAGGGCGACCGGCCACACUGGGACUGAGACACGGCCCAGACUCCUACGGGAGGCAGCAGUGGGGAAUCUUGCGCAAUGGGCGAAAGCCUGACGCAGCGACGCCGCGUGAGGGAUGACGGCC